GACGAACGCUGGCGGCGUGCUUAACACAUGCAAGUCGAACGGUGAAACGCCUUCCUUUUUCGUGUGUGUUUAUCAGUGGCGAGCUGGUGAGUAACUCGUUAGUAACCUUCUCCCUUCUUCUUGAUAUCCGCAUGAAAGUGCUGCUAAUACGGGAUAUUCUGAGUCUCUCGCUUGAUUAGUCUGGGACAGAUUUUGUUUCGGUGGUGGAUGGGCUCGCGGCUUAUCAGCUUGUUGGUGGGGUGAUGGCCUACCAAGGCGGUGACGAGUAGCCGGCCUGAGAGGGUGGACGACAACGGAGGGGAGACGACACGGAGAAGCCUACGGGGGGAGGCAGCAGUGGAGAAUAUUGAACAGGGGGAGGAAGGAUGAUGCAGCGACGCGGGGGGGAGGAAGGAGGCCUUAGGGUAGAAAACCUCUAUCGGGAGAGAAGAAGGGUUGCAGCGUUUGUGGGUGGGUUGACGGUAGCUAGAUAAGAAGCGACGGCUAACUACGUG
RNAcentral lists this ribosomal RNA (494 nucleotides) under uncultured bacterium. RNAcentral describes it as "partial 16S ribosomal RNA". It matches the Rfam family "Bacterial small subunit ribosomal RNA", at positions 28 to 507 of the family's 1533-position model. The record is from RNAcentral.